UAUUGCUCUUGAACGAGGAAUCCCUAGUAAGUACAAGUCAUUAGCUUGUGCUGAUUACGUCCCUGCCCUUUGUACACACCGCCCGUCGCUACUACCGAUUGAAUGGCUUAGUGAGGCCUUCGGAUCGAGAUUCGGAGACUGGCAACAGACUCUGGGUUUUGAAAAGUUGGUCAAACUUGGUCAUUUAGAGGAAGUAAAAGUCGUAACAAGGUUUCCGUAGGUGAACCUGCGGAAGGAUCAUUACCAAUCUUAGCGGGCCUGGUCUUUAUUAACCAUGGUUUCGCGAAAAUCGUAUUUAAAACCCACUCUUAUAAAUGAAUCAUUUUUUUUUGUAUAAUAAAUAAAGAUCACUUUCAACAACGGAUCCCUUGGUUCUCGCAUCGAUGAAGAACGUAGCGAAGUGCGAUAAGUAAUGUGAAUUGCAGAAUUCCGUGGAUCAUCGAAUCUUUGAACGCAAAUUGCACUUUUUGGUAUCCCGAAAAGUAUGCCUGUUUGAGGGUCAGUAUAAUAAAAAAAUCGGUAUGUUGCUUUUUUUGUAACGUUCCGGAGUUUGGGUUAUCUUGAACAAAAUUUUAGUUUAAGAGACUUAAAAUUAACCAUCUUUUUGCGCAUUUUUAGAUGUACAAUAAAUUAUUUAUUUCGUCUAUAUUAUCAUGCCAAAAUUUUAUUAGAUGCGACCAUAUUGAGUGGUUUCGUGCCUAUAAAAAUUUUCAWAAUUUGACCUCAAAUCAGGUAAGAAUACCCGCUGAACUUAAGCAUAUCAAUAAGCGGAGGAAAAGAAAAUAACAAUGAUUCCCUUAGUAACUGCGAGUGAAGAGGGACAAGCUCAAAUUUUAAAUCCGUUAGGUUCACCUAACCGAGUUGUAAUUUGAAGAGGCGNUUUCUGCGUUUUUGAUCAGUUCAAGUCCUUUGGGAUAAGGCAUCAUGGAGGGUGAGAAUCCCGUUCGGUUGAUCAAAUUUGCUUUAUGAUACGUCAUCUAAGAGUCAAGUUGUUUGGGAUUGCAGCUUAAAACGGGAGGUAAAUUUCUCCUAAGGCUAAAUAACGGCGAGAGACCGAUAGCGAACAAGUACCGUGAGGGAAAGAUGAAAAGAACUUUGAAAAGAGAGUCAAAUAGUACGUGAAAUUGUUGAAAGGGAAACGAUUGAAGUCAGUCGUACCGGCGGAUAAUCAGCCUUUCGAGUAUGAUUCUGUGGAGUGUGAGGAGUUUAACCGCCUUCAUACCUGCAUAUUUGUGCGCUUUGGGUGUACUUGUCCGUAUGGUAGGUUAACAUCAAUUUUGGUCGUUAUAAAAUGGCUAGGGGAAUGUAGCUUUGAUCUCGUAUUGAAGUGUUAUAGCCUCUGGUAAAUGUAGUGACUAGGAUUGAGGAUUGCAACGGAUACCUUUCGGGGCUACUCGUCUGAUCUCUGGAAGUUACUUUGGUGCUAAAAGCUUGCUUAUGGUUAUCGAAGUUGACAGUCAAUAGGUUAGAACGGGUUAAAUUCGUUAAGGAUGUUGACGUAAUGGCUUUAAACGACCCGUCUUGAAACACGAACCAAGGAGUCUAACAUAUGUGCGAGUGUU
Molecule: ribosomal RNA, 1562 nt
Filed under: uncultured Glomus
Lineage: Eukaryota; Fungi; Glomeromycota; Glomeromycetes; Glomerales; Glomeraceae
Description: eukaryotic LSU rRNA
Rfam family: Eukaryotic large subunit ribosomal RNA (bases 719-1562)
Source: RNAcentral